This 116-nucleotide non-coding RNA is filed under the name Xanthomonas massiliensis. RNAcentral's name for it is "SAM riboswitch (S box leader)". It matches the Rfam family "SAM riboswitch aptamer (S box leader)". Rfam says of the family: The SAM riboswitch is found upstream of a number of genes which code for proteins involved in methionine or cysteine biosynthesis in Gram-positive bacteria. The SAM riboswitch acts at the level of transcription termination control. Lineage: Bacteria; Pseudomonadati; Pseudomonadota; Gammaproteobacteria; Lysobacterales; Lysobacteraceae. The record is from RNAcentral.
CAUCGAGACCGGCGGAGGGACAGGCCCUUUGAUGCCGGGGCAACCAGCGCGACGCGCCAGCGUCGCGUGGUCGGUGCCAAAUCCUGCGGGGACCGCGUCCGCGUCCGCCGAAAGAU